AUUGCUGUGUGCUUCUUAGGAUUUUGUAUCAAUGCGGAGAGGGCAUUGUAUGUAUAGCUCUGCAUUGACAUGAUUGGUUUAAGGCAGGCGAGGGCGGGGACACAACCUCACAAACUCAAUUCCUUGACAACUUUCUUGACAACAGCUCUGCGCUGCUCUGCGAAGCACGAGAACCUUCCUCUCCUCUGAAGACCCAGUGAGGGUGGAGCUCAGUCAGAGAGCUGUUGAGGGACUGGUUAGGAAGAACACUUCUACAGCCAGAGAGCCCUAGGACCAUGCCUCAGGACUACUUGGCCUGAUGACUCCUUGCAGUCCCCGGUCCACCUGGUUGUGCUGCUGCUCCAAUUGUAACUGUUCUGGCUGCGGCUAUGCAACCCUGAACUGUUCACCAAACGUGCUACCUUGUCCCAGACCUGCUGUUUUCGACCCUCUCUCUACCGCACCUGUUGUUUCGACCUCAGACUGCUCAGCUAAC
Oncorhynchus keta (chum salmon) is the source of this 475-nucleotide long non-coding RNA. RefSeq lists it as uncharacterized. The transcript is spliced from 3 exons. NCBI's taxonomy places the organism in Eukaryota, Metazoa, Chordata, Actinopteri, Salmoniformes, Salmonidae. The record is from RefSeq and is a predicted model, not a curated record.